GACGAACGCUGGCGGCGUGCUUAACACAUGCAAGUCGAACGGUGAAGGGAUCAGCUUGCUGGUUCUGGAUGAGUGGCGAACGGGUGAGUAACACGUGAGUAACCUGCCCCCUUCUUCUGGAUAACCGCAUGAAAGUGUGGCUAAUACGGGAUAUUCUGCGCCUGCUGCAUGGUGGGUGGGGGAAAGAUAUUGUUUCGGCGGGGGAUGGGCUCGCGGCCUAUCAGCUUGUUGGUGGGGUGAUGGCCUACCAAGGCGGGGACGGGGAGCCGGCCGGGGGGGGGGGGACGUUACAACUGGGACGGGGCCCCGGCCCGACCCCUACGGGGCGGAAGAGUUGGGGAAAAUGGACAAAGGGGCGCAACCUGGUGGCGGCGCGGCCGGGUGGGGGUUGGGGGCCUCGGGGUGGUGACCUUCUUCGGCAGGUGAGCCGGGCCUGUCCCUGGUGGGGGGUUGACGGUAGCUGGAUAAGAAGCGCCGGCUAACUACGUG
This 489-nucleotide ribosomal RNA is filed under the name uncultured bacterium. Its description in RNAcentral is "partial 16S ribosomal RNA". It matches the Rfam family "Bacterial small subunit ribosomal RNA", at positions 28 to 507 of the family's 1533-position model. The record is from RNAcentral.